AUAUAUUUUAUAUUUAUAUAUAAUAUAUAAGGGGCGGAUGUAGCCAAGUGGAUCAAGGCAGUGGAUUGUGAAUCCACCAUGC
This 82-nucleotide transfer RNA is filed under the name Lithospermum molle. RNAcentral's name for it is "partial tRNA-His". Lineage: Eukaryota; Viridiplantae; Streptophyta; Magnoliopsida; Boraginales; Boraginaceae. The record is from RNAcentral.